AUUAUUCUUUAAUAGAUUGGAUGGAUCAAGAGACUUCUCUGGAAGAAAGAAUCCACCUUUCUCUUCUCCCCAUGAGGAUAAGUGAAUGUUCAUAAUUUAUUAAAAUUAGCUCCUUGGUUUUAUUUUAUUGGUAAAGAAAAGAUUAGAAUGCACAGAUUUCUUUCCCCCUGGGAUCUAGCAGGUGGGAAGAAAAAAAAAGGAUAAUCAUCAUCCCAUCAAGUUAGCAGAAAACUGUGUCUACACAUCACCUAAGCAACCAGGACAAUUCUGCCAAAACACUCCUCAAUUCUGUGAAAAAAUUCAUCAGCUUUGUUAUUUGACAUGCUUUGGCCUUGUGCUUGCUUCUCCUGAUUGAAGGACUGAAUUUCUCAUUUUCUACAGCCUGUGUCGAGUGUCUGUAGACCUUAGUGAAGUGCCCAGAAAAUAGAUUUUCUUGACUCUGGGACUAAAUGGAGCGAACACCUGGUCCAGAUUUGCUCGGAACCUUCUUCUCUAAGCAACUAAUUCUUGGUGGAAACUAUUCUCAUACCAGGAUGUGUUCCGAGGAGGGAUUUCCGUCGCCACUGAAGCACAGAGAGACCUGGUGCCCAAAGAAGAAUGAAGGGAAGCGAGAGCCUGCGUGUGUCUCACGGUCAACAGCGAGGUCAGAAGCAUUCAUCCGGAAGGUAGUCAAAAGAACAAAACAAAAACAUAAACCUGCUCACUCAAACGCUGGAGCACCAAGGCUCUUCAAUGGAGCCGCUCCUUAGCCAAAUAUGCUGGAAAAAGGAUAUGAAAGAAUGGUGUGGGGGGAAUGAGUUCCAUGGGAGGAAGUUAGGGACAAGAAUACUUAGUGACCAAGUUGUGUGUGCGUGUGUGUGUGUGUGUGUGUGUGUGUGAGAGAGAGAGAGAGAGAGAGAGAGAGAGAGAGAGAGAGAGAGAGGAGGAGAAGCCAAGAUUCUUUUGUUGGGAAUGUUCUAAGUUUAAA
Ictidomys tridecemlineatus (thirteen-lined ground squirrel) is the source of this 967-nucleotide non-coding RNA. The record is from RefSeq and is a predicted model, not a curated record. NCBI's taxonomy places the organism in Eukaryota, Metazoa, Chordata, Mammalia, Rodentia, Sciuridae.